Molecule: ribosomal RNA, 688 nt
Filed under: uncultured bacterium
Lineage: Bacteria
Description: bacterial SSU rRNA
Rfam family: Bacterial small subunit ribosomal RNA
Source: RNAcentral
GNGUGAGUAACGCGUGGAUAACCUGCCUUGUACAGGGGGAUAACACCUGGAAACAGGUGCUAAGACCGCAUAAGCGCACAGUCUCGCAUGGGACAGUGUGAAAAACUCCGGUGGUACAAGAUGGAUCCGCGUCUGAUUAGCCAGUUGGCGGGGUAACGGCCCACCAAAGCGACGAUCAGUAGCCGGCCUGAGAGGGUGAACGGCCACAUUGGGACUGAGACACGGCCCAAACUCCUACGGGAGGCAGCAGUGGGGAAUAUUGCACAAUGGGGGAAACCCUGAUGCAGCAACGCCGCGUGAGUGAAGAAGUAAUUCGUUAUAUAAAGCUCUAUCAGCAGGGAAGAAAAUGACGGUACCUGAGUAAGCAGCCCCGGCUAACUACGUGCCAGCAGCCGCGGUAAUACGUAGGGGGCAAGCGUUAUCCGGAUUUACUGGGUGUAAAGGGAGCGUAGACGGUAAAGCAAGUCUGAAGUGAAAUGCCAGUGCUCAACACUGGGACUGCUUUGGAAACUGUUUGGCUGGAGUGCAGGAGAGGUAAGUGGAAUUCCUAGUGUAGCGGUGAAAUGCGUAGAUAUUAGGAGGAACACCAGUGGCGAAGGCGGCUUACUGGACUGUAACUGACGUUGAGGCUCGAAAGCGUGGGGAGCAAACAGGAUUAGAUACCCUGGUAGUCCACGCGGUAAACGAU